Molecule: ribosomal RNA, 853 nt
Filed under: Neofusicoccum batangarum
Lineage: Eukaryota; Fungi; Ascomycota; Dothideomycetes; Botryosphaeriales; Botryosphaeriaceae
Description: eukaryotic LSU rRNA
Rfam family: Eukaryotic large subunit ribosomal RNA
Source: RNAcentral
UGCCUUAGUAACGGCGAGUGAAGCGGCAACAGCUCAAAUUUGAAAGCUGGCCCCUUCGGGGUCCGCGUUGUAAUUUGUAGAGGAUGAUUCGGCGAGGGCUCCCGUCUAAGUCCCUUGGAACAGGGCGUCAUAGAGGGUGAGAAUCCCGUAUGUGAUGGGCUGCCUUAGCCAUGUGAAUCUCCUUCGACGAGUCGAGUUGUUUGGGAAUGCAGCUCUAAAUGGGAGGUAAAUUUCUUCUAAAGCUAAAUACCGGCCAGAGACCGAUAGCGCACAAGUAGAGUGAUCGAAAGAUGAAAAGCACUUUGGAAAGAGAGUUAAAAAGUACGUGAAAUUGUUGAAAGGGAAGCGCUUGCAGCCAGACUUGUCCGCAGUUGCUCAGCUUGUCUCCUGACAGGCGUACUCUUCUGCGGCCAGGCCAGCAUCAGUUCGGGCGGUCGGAUAAAGACCUAGGGAAUGUAGCUCCUCUCGGGGAGUGUUAUAGCCCUGGGUGCAAUGCGGCCAGCCUGGACUGAGGAUCUCGCUUCGGCUAGGAUGCUGGCGUAAUGGCUGUAAGCGGCCCGUCUUGAAACACGGACCAAGGAGUCUAACAUCUAUGCGAGUGUUUGGGUGUCAAACCCAUGCGCGUAAUGAAAGUGAACGGAGGUGGGAACCCUCACGGGUGCACCAUCGACCGAUCCUGAUGUCUUCGGAUGGAUUUGAGUAAGAGCAUAGCUGUUGGGACCCGAAAGAUGGUGAACUAUGCCUGAAUAGGGUGAAGCCAGAGGAAACUCUGGUGGAGGCUCGCAGCGGUUCUGACGUGCAAAUCGAUCGUCAAAUUUGGGUAUAGGGGCGAAAGACUAAUCGAACCAUCUAG